RNAcentral lists this ribosomal RNA (2071 nucleotides) under human gut metagenome. Its description in RNAcentral is "bacterial LSU rRNA". It matches the Rfam family "Bacterial large subunit ribosomal RNA", at positions 296 to 2365 of the family's 2925-position model. The record is from RNAcentral.
GGUUGUAGGGCCGCCGGACGUGAUUCUGGAGUAGGCAGGAGAAGUCGGCUGGAAAGCCGCGCCGGAGCGAGUGAAAGCCUCGUAUCCGAAACCGAAAAGGACACAGGCGGUACCUGAGUACCGCUGGGCACGAGAAACCCCGUGGGAAUCCGGGAGGACCAUCUUCCAAGGCUAAGUACGAAUCAGCGACCGAUAGUGAACCAGUACCGUGAGGGAAAGGUGAAAAGAACCCCUGUCAGGGGAGUGAAAGAGAAUCUGAAACCUGUUGCUUACAAGCUGUGGGAGCCACAUAACGGUGGUGACCACGUGCCUUUUGCAUAAUGAGUCAGCGAGUUAAUCUGUCGUGCGAGGUUAAGCGAGAGCGGAGCCGUAGCGAAAGCGAGUCUGAUAAGGGCGACAAGUACGGCGGAUUAGACCCGAAACCGGGUGAUCUAUCCAUGAGCAGGUUGAAGCAAGGGUAAAGCCUUGUGGAGGACCGAACCAGUAUCGGCUGAAAACGAUUUGGAUGACUUGUGGAUAGGGGUGAAAGGUCAAUCAAACCCGGUGAUAGCUGGUUCUCCCCGAAAUAUAUUGAGGUAUAGCCUCGGGGAUUGUCUGUCGGAGGUAAAGCACUGACAAGGCUAGGGGUCCUACCAGAUUACCAAACCUUUUCAAACUCAGAAUGCCGACAAGAUGUACCCCGGGAGUCAGACGGCGGGUGCUAAGGUCCGUCGUCGAGAGGGUAAGAGCCCAGAUCGACAGCUAAGGUCUCGAAAUCCAUGCUCAGUGGUGAAGGUGGUGGAGUUGUACAGACAGCCAGGACGUUGGCUUAGAAGCAGCCAUCGUUUAAAGAAAGCGUAAUAGCUCACUGGUCUAAUGACUCUGCGCCGAAAAUGUAACGGGGCUAAGCAUGGUACCGAAGCUUCGGAUUCCUCUUUUGAGGAGUGGUAGGGGAGCGUUCUCUAUGGGCAGAAGCUGCAUUGUAAAGUGCGGUGGACGAUAGAGAAGUGAUUAUGCUGACAUGAGUAACGAUAAAACAGGUGAAAAACCUGUUCGCCGAAAACCCAAGGUUUCCUGGGUAAAGUUAAUCUUCCCAGGGUGAGUCGGACCCUAAGGCGAGGGCGAAAGCCGUAGCUGAUGGAAAACGGGUUAAUAUUCCCGUACUUCUUAUGGUGUGCGAUGGAGGGACGCAGAAAGAUAGGUGGGCCAACUGUUGGAUGUUGGUGCAAGCUGGUAGGAAUGCCUCGCCGGCAAAUCCGCGAGGUGAAUCCGAGAAGCGAGUCCGUGGGCGCAAGCCCUGAAGCCAUUGAGUCUCCGCUGCCAAGAAAAGCUCCUAAGUUUAGCCAUGAGGAUCCGUACCGCAAACCAACUCAGGUGGGUGGGAUGAAUAAUCCGAGGCGCUCGAGAGAACUCUGGCCAAGGAACUCGGCAAAAUGACCCCGUAACUUCGGAAGAAGGGGUGCUUUUUCAGGUGACCAUUUUUACAUUGGAAGCCGGAGGAAGCCGCAGUGAAUUGGGGGUGGCGACUGUUUACUAAAAACAUAGGUCUGUGCGAAGUCGCAAGACGACGUAUACGGACUGACGCCUGCCCGGUGCCGGAAGGUUAAGAGGAGAGGUCAGCGCAAGCGAAGCCUUGAAUCGAAGCCCCGGUAAACGGCGGCCGUAACUAUAACGGUCCUAAGGUAGCGAAAUUCCUUGUCGGGUAAGUUCCGACCUGCACGAAUGGCGUAACGAUCUCCACACUGUCUCGGCCAGAGACUCGGUGAAAUUGAAGUCGCGGUGAAAAUGCCGUGUACCCGCAGAAAGACGGAAAGACCCUGUGCACCUUUACUAUAGCUUGACAUUGGAUUUUGGGCCUACAUGUGUAGGAUAGGUGGGAGGCAAUGAAAUCUGUACGCCAGUAUGGAUGGAGCCACUGUUGAAAUACCACCCUUGUAUGUCUAAGGUCCUAACUCCACGCAGUGAACCUGCUGGAAGACAUUGUCUGGUGGGUAGUUUGACUGGGGCGGUCGCCUCCUAAAGAGUAACGGAGGCAUGCAAAGGUUCCCUCAGGCUGUUCGGAAACCAGCCGUUGAGUGCAAACGCAUAAGGG